Molecule: long non-coding RNA, 1745 nt
Organism: Cyanistes caeruleus (blue tit)
Lineage: Eukaryota; Metazoa; Chordata; Aves; Passeriformes; Paridae
Source: Ensembl
ACAGCUGUUCACUGAAAUUCACUUUUGCCUCUUAUUGCAUUGCUUUAACUAGAUUCCCAACUCAUAACAUAAAAGGAAUCAAGAGCUUUUUGGCAGACAAACCACACAAACCUCUCCCUCACUUUUUGUGUCUAUAAAUAGGAAUAAUACCUGUUUAUGUUACAGUAGUGUUGUGGGCAUUAUGGCUUAAAAACCUUAAAGAUCAAAGAAGUCUGAUUACUAACAGAUGUCUAUCUGACCCUGUAGAUUGGCAGCUCAAAGCUUCUAAGUGUUCAGAGUUUUGGGAUCCUGUCAAAGUUUCUAUUGCUGUGUGUACACAGAAGGGAAAUCCUGCAAGAGAAAAUAGUCAGGAUAAGUGCUAUUGUGAAGUGCGUAUGAAAAGAAAGUUGUAGCUAGUCAUGCAACUGGGAGAAUGAGAGGAGAGAGCAAGGGGACUCAGAUGUGGGAAAGGAAAUGGCAUCUCCUGUCCCAAUAAAAGAAGAGAUUGGCGAUGUGUUUCUGUGGACCUAAGUGUCACUGGGACAUUUUUGUCCCUUCUUUACAGACCCUGUAAAGGUGUUCUUUCCCAAUUACUAAUCUGCUUUGUAAAGUCUGCUCUCAGAUUCAGUUAGCACUUUAUCUUGAGCUGGAAUGGUUCAAGAUAUCUCCAACUGAAAUGCAAAUUAGUCUUAGAUGUCUCUGUUCAAUUUACACUUCUUGGAAGAAGUGACACAGUUCUUGAAAAUAUCAUAAUGAUAUUUCUGUGACGUACGGGUUCUUUGUUGCAUACAUAGUACAGCUAAUCUGAAUCAUAGCAAUAUCCUUAUGGUCUGCCCGAAAGUGUGGUGUAUGCAAGUUGCACAGCACGUGAUAUUUGUCACUAAAUCUGAAUCCUGGACCUUUCAGGAAAGACACCUGCCAACAUGUAUUUCUCUAACAUGCAACCAGACUGAAGAGUUCAUGAGUGGAUAGUCACUGCUUUACAGGGAUUAAGCUAGCAUAAUUUAAAUUGUUUUUGCAAACCCUUUGAGCUGGUGUGGAGAUUAUUGACCUACCUAACCUGUGUUACUGUAAAAUAUUUCUACAGCACUGACAGAGAACUCUCACAUCACACAUGGUGGCAGGGGUGGGAAGUUAAAAUCUUCUAAUACAUGAAGAAACUUCUACAUGCAGUACAGACCUGCUGUAGUCCUUUCUUCUUACUUCCAAUCUUGUAUGUUAAAGUGGAGGCAGUUCCUUUGGCAGAGUGGCUGAAAAUACUUGUAUGAUGAGACUGUAGCCAUCCAAACUGAACUAUUCACACAGUCCCAAUAAGUAAAUAUAUUUGUUAGUAGUUUUCCAUUAGUAAGAUGUUCUGGUGCAGGAGUCUGUGUAUUUGGCUUUUUAUUCAAGCUGAUGAUGUUUAUUUCGGUAGAGUUGUAGUGUUUCCACCAUAUGCUCAAAUGUUAACAUGUUUAAUGCCAGCAGCAGAUUAUUUACAUUAAAGAACAUGGAGCCAAAUUAAACUCAGUUGCAACUUUAUUAACGGAAUUACAAUAUUACUAGCAAAAAACAGCUGUGAUAAACAGUUAAGCAUAUCUUGCUUUUUUUCUUCUCUAAUUUUUCUAAUGGGCUGGGGCAGGUCUAUCCUUGUUAGAAGUUGUUCUCUAGUCACUACUCUAAUUCCUUGUGCAGCAGUGUAGAGUGGGAAUGCCAAGAGGUAUUCUGCUUGAACCUGAAGCUCCUGAGAGGGAGGGAUAGGAAGGUGACUAUAUCCAGAAUUUUAU